CCCUUUCCCUUUCUCUCAUUGGCUGUGAGUGGCUUGAUCUCCUUCGGCGGGUCUGAGGAGGAAGUGGUCGCUGAUGACUCCAUGUGAGAAUGAGAAUCAGAA
Long non-coding RNA from Sinocyclocheilus anshuiensis, 102 nucleotides. RefSeq lists it as uncharacterized. Lineage: Eukaryota; Metazoa; Chordata; Actinopteri; Cypriniformes; Cyprinidae. The record is from RefSeq and is a predicted model, not a curated record. The transcript is spliced from 3 exons.